RNAcentral lists this ribosomal RNA (269 nucleotides) under uncultured Atopobium sp. Its description in RNAcentral is "partial 16S ribosomal RNA". It matches the Rfam family "Bacterial small subunit ribosomal RNA", at positions 87 to 355 of the family's 1533-position model. The record is from RNAcentral. Lineage: Bacteria; Bacillati; Actinomycetota; Coriobacteriia; Coriobacteriales; Atopobiaceae.
UGUAUAAAGUGGCGAACGGCUGAGUAACACGUGGGCAACCUGCCCUUUGCACUGGGAUAGCCUCGGGAAACCGAGGUUAAUACCGGAUACUCCGUAUUUGUCGCAUGGCGAAUAUGGGAAAGCUCCGGCGGCAAAGGAUGGGCCCGCGGCCUGUUAGCUAGUUGGUGGGGUAGUGGCCUACCAAGGCAAUGAUGGGUAGCCGGGUUGAGAGACCGACCGGCCAGAUUGGGACUGAGACACGGCCCAGACUCCUACGGGAGGCAGCAGUC